UGCCGGGUCGUCUAACGGUAGGACAUUAGCCUUUGAAGCUAAGUAUCUUGGUUCGAUCCCAAGCCCGGCAG
RNAcentral lists this transfer RNA (71 nucleotides) under Candidatus Harrisonbacteria bacterium RIFCSPLOWO2_02_FULL_45_10c. RNAcentral's name for it is "tRNA-Gln". It matches the Rfam family "tRNA". Rfam says of the family: Transfer RNA (tRNA) molecules are approximately 80 nucleotides in length. The record is from RNAcentral. Lineage: Bacteria; Candidatus Harrisoniibacteriota.